CCCUAGCUAUUCAUUUCAAACUCAAUAAGAUUUUCAUCCGAUCUUUCCACUUUCAUCAGGGACACAAUCCCACAACAUUUACACACCUAACCCACUCCAAACUUCCCAAACCUACAGCACUGUUGAAAACUAACUCAAUCCACUAUCCUGAACAGCAAUCCAGACCUAACCCAAUCCUACCGGAAUUUUAACCCCAAACCACAUUCCAACCCAUGUACACCCCAUCAACUAACCCUCCCCAACUAAGCGGUUAUCAUUUUAUGUUUCGCUCACUAAUAUAGUAAAACGUCAUGUAAUAUAAAUAUAGUAUAAUAUACUAUAAUACACUAUACACGUCAUACACACUAUAUACACUAUACAU
Molecule: non-coding RNA, 361 nt
Organism: Paramuricea clavata
Lineage: Eukaryota; Metazoa; Cnidaria; Anthozoa; Malacalcyonacea; Plexauridae
Source: the annotation of a GenBank genome assembly